AUCUAGGCAAGUCAUGGUUCUGGGAAAAAAGCCCCAGCUAAAAAUAGGCACGUAGGCCAGGGAACAUAAUCUUGGGACUCCAGAGCUAUAAACAAAGAAGGGAAAGAGUGUCCAAGAUCUCAAGUGUCAGCCUACCCACGGACAGGGCCAGUACUAACUGGAGGCCCUAACAACGGAGCCCACUCCAGACCAAACAAGCAGACGGCCGACACUAGCAGCCUUGCACCAGGGGACAGAAACUCCUAGCCUCACGGACGGUUGCAGUUGUCAGGAACGCAUCCAUGCUUCCUGGAAGGAGGCCCUUCGUAUCAAGUAAAAUCUCCCCAGCACAUAAACUUCCCUUUGAAGAAGGCUUCUGUUUCCAUUACUGAUGUGGAAAAUGCGUCUCAUCCUCAACGGCUUUUAAUGUCACUUCACUGUAAUACUGGCCAAGGGAACACACCAAAGCUGGAUUCCAGGUUUCUGCCAAGCAAGACUUCUGGGCUCCGGGAGGCAGAGAAGCUAGGUACCAUACUUGUGGUAGGCCACCAGGGCCAACAUGAAGACUGAAGGAGCUAACAACUACAACUGAGUGCGAGAGGGAUCAGCAGCCAAUACUUUUUCAGGAUGACUGAUGCUUGUCCAGGAGCCUGAUGAAGGGAAAGAACACUGGGUAUAUGUGAGUGUCAAGGACCUAAGUUUAAAUCUUAGCUCCACCUGUGGGACUGUGGGCACAUCAGUUAAUCUCUAAAAUUAAGUGUCUUCAUCUGCAAAAUGGAGAUACCUAUUUUACAAGGUUUGGGGUGGGAGAUGUUUUAU
This is a long non-coding RNA of Camelus dromedarius (Arabian camel), 798 nucleotides long. RefSeq lists it as uncharacterized. NCBI's taxonomy places the organism in Eukaryota, Metazoa, Chordata, Mammalia, Artiodactyla, Camelidae. The transcript is spliced from 3 exons. The record is from RefSeq and is a predicted model, not a curated record.